Molecule: small RNA, 816 nt
Filed under: Pan troglodytes (chimpanzee)
Lineage: Eukaryota; Metazoa; Chordata; Mammalia; Primates; Hominidae
Description: retained intron
Source: RNAcentral
GCCGCCGGCUGCUGGAGCAGAGCUUGGAGAAACUAAGACCUUCCCUCCCCGCCGCAGGACAUUAAGAGCGGCCGCUCCCCGCUCAUCCACGCCGUGGAAAACAACAGCCUUAGCAUGGUGCAGCUGCUGCUGCAGCACGGCGCCAACGUGAACGCGCAAAUGUACUCCGGCAGCUCCGCCCUGCACUCAGCGUCCGGCCGCGGGCUCCUCCCGCUGGUGCGCACGCUGGUCCGCAGCGGCGCUGACAGCAGCCUCAAGAACUGCCACAACGACACGCCGCUCAUGGUGGCGCGCAGCCGCAGGGUCAUCGACAUCCUGAGGGGGAAGGCCACCCGGCCUGCUUCCACCUCCCAGCCAGACCCCUCCCCUGACCGGAGCGCCAACACCUCCCCCGAGAGCAGCAGCCGCCUCAGCUCCAAUGGUCUUCUCUCCACAUCACCAUCCUCCUCACCCUCCCAGUCUCCCCCCAGGGACCCCCCUGGAUUCCCCAUGGCUCCUCCCAAUUUCUUCCUUCCUUCCCCAUCUCCACCCACCUUCCUGCCCUUUGCUGGGGUCCUCCGAGGCCCUGGCCGGCCGGUGCCCCCCUCCCCAGCUCCAGGAGGCAGCUGAGGGGGAUGGGGGGGCAGAUCUUGGACUCAUGAGGAGGGGCCCCCCUGCCCUGUGGGGUCAACCCUUCUGGAAACUGUGAAGAUCUCACUCUGCCCCCCCCCAUCUUCGGGACCAGGAUUUGCACAGAAGCACAUGCACCUACCCAUACACCCCCUCUUCUGAGCACAGAUGUUCCCCCAUCUCGCUCCCUCCCAGGACUCUGACCCC